CAGGAAAUGGGCGGAGCUUCUCCGGUGACGUCGCGGGAUUGCGGCUGUGUGUGUGUGUGUCACCCAGGCUACACGACGAAGCUCCACGCACGUUUUCUCAGCCGUGGGCUUUCUAAACAGGUCAGAUACGCUCCAGGAUCCGUCAGUUAAACCGCCAAAAGAUCCCCUCUGACAGCAAGAGAAAGAUUCCCAUGGCUCAGCGUCUCAACUUGUCGAAGUGAAAAGUGUUUUCUUUUGACUUGCAAGUUUUUCUCGUUUUUCCAGCCAUCUUUGAGUGAAUGCGUACCCACAGCCUGUAGAGCGGCAGUGAGUUCAAAAGGACUCAUGGUCCCAGAAGAGUCCUCAUCAAACUGGAAAAAGAUGGACUGAAAGAAAAAACAGAUCUUUAUUACGGUUUCCCUCCGUCUCACCCCAAAGUGUUCCCAGUUUUGGAGAAGAUGCGCACAAAGAACUCUCCAGCCUGGUUGGGUCGAUAGGUGGACGCUACAAGGACGUAGUGACCCGGGUCCAGGUUCUACUUUUAUCCUGCUCAGGGUCAAGUGUGAACUGGAGAAAAUCCCAGCUGACUUUAGGUAAGAGACAGAGUACACCCUAGACUGGACAUCAGUCAAUCACAGAUGUCACGUACACACGAGAGGAAAGACAUUUUGCAGAUGUUCCAAAGAAGGUGCCAGUCCCAGCUGGCCCUAAAGGUGGUAAGACUUGUAAUUAACAGUCUCUAAUUAACAACAUGAUGGCUAUAGACCAUCACAUCGGACUGUUGGCGCUAAAACUUGAUCUCUUGACCUUGUUACUCACCUUGAAAUGGAAAAUGCCGGCGUAAGACUUGUACAGGCUUUGGUCAGGCGGGACCACCUUGAUGAAGAGCUUGGGGUGCAUGGUGAGACAGGACAAUGCUGCCAGCAGCCAGCAGUUACCUGGAGACAGCCAUGGGAUAUAUUUUUUAUUAAAAACAAACACACUAAUAAGUCACAUUCCGUGUGCUCUGUUUUGUUCUACAAAAGCUCUCUUGAUGUGCAGGGAAAAAUGUUAAAAAGUGGAGGAGUAGUAGGAGGAGGUACACUUUGACCUCUCACUUGACUGCGCUCAACUGAAGACAGAAUCAUCAGAGCAGAACAAUCCCAGUGGAAUGCAGAACAAAUAAAGGACUUUUUUUUCUCCCCAAAUCAGUGACUUUUGCUUUUUCCAAAUGAAGCAUUUGGUGAUAACGAUGAGUUGUGUACUUACCUAGCUGACCCUGGCAGAUGUCAGUGGUGCCGGUAGUGCCCUCCACAAACACAGCAUUCUCACUGAUGUCCUUAAAGAAUAGACACACACAUUUGUAAUGAAGUCAUCAUAAAGUCGAAUAGACACUUAGAACCAUUCAAAAAUAAAAUCAGCUUUUACAAAGAUAUUAGACAGGUUUUUUGGUUGUUGUUGUUUUAGAAAAUGUACAAAAAAAAGGUAUUUACUUUUGAUACAGAUUUGCAGGUGCAGUGCACACUGUCUAAUUCACAGGUGUCAAACUUGUUUUCAUUGAG
Molecule: long non-coding RNA, 1520 nt
Organism: Nerophis lumbriciformis (worm pipefish)
Lineage: Eukaryota; Metazoa; Chordata; Actinopteri; Syngnathiformes; Syngnathidae
Source: RefSeq, a predicted model, not a curated record